This 1709-nucleotide ribosomal RNA is filed under the name Burkholderia cenocepacia. RNAcentral's name for it is "partial 23S ribosomal RNA". It matches the Rfam family "Bacterial large subunit ribosomal RNA", at positions 1222 to 2925 of the family's 2925-position model. Lineage: Bacteria; Pseudomonadati; Pseudomonadota; Betaproteobacteria; Burkholderiales; Burkholderiaceae. The record is from RNAcentral.
CGCAUGGUAGGAGAGCGUUCCGUAAGCCUGCGAAGGUGCCUUGUAAAGGGUGCUGGAGGUAUCGGAAGUGCGAAUGCUGACAUGAGUAGCGAUAAAGGGGGUGAAAGGCCCCCUCGCCGUAAGCCCAAGGUUUCCUACGCAACGUUCAUCGGCGUAGGGUGAGUCGGCCCCUAAGGCGAGGCAGAAAUGCGUAGCUGAUGGGAAGCAGGUCAAUAUUCCUGCACCAUUGUUAGAUGCGAUGGGGGGACGGAUCGCGGAAGGUUGUCCGGGUGUUGGAAGUCCCGGUCGCUGCAUUGGAGAAGGCGCUUAGGCAAAUCCGGGCGCGUAAUUCAAGGGUGUGGCGCGAGCUCCUUAGGGAGCGAAGCAAUUGGAAGUGGUUCCAAGAAAAGCCUCUAAGCUUCAGUCUAACGAUGACCGUACCGCAAACCGACACAGGUGGGCGAGAUGAGUAUUCUAAGGCGCUUGAGAGAACUCGGGAGAAGGAACUCGGCAAAUUGGUACCGUAACUUCGGGAUAAGGUACGCCCUUGUAGCUUGACUGGCCUGCGCCAGGAGGGUGAAGGGGUUGCAAUAAACUGGUGGCUGCGACUGUUUAAUAAAAACACAGCACUCUGCAAACACGAAAGUGGACGUAUAGGGUGUGACGCCUGCCCGGUGCCGGAAGAUUAAAUGAUGGGGUGCAAGCUCUUGAUUGAAGUCCCGGUAAACGGCGGCCGUAACUAUAACGGUCCUAAGGUAGCGAAAUUCCUUGUCGGGUAAGUUCCGACCUGCACGAAUGGCGUAACGAUGGCCACACUGUCUCCUCCCGAGACUCAGCGAAGUUGAAGUGUUUGUGAUGAUGCAAUCUACCCGCGGCUAGACGGAAAGACCCCAUGAACCUUUACUGUAGCUUUGCAUUGGACUUUGAACCGAUCUGUGUAGGAUAGGUGGGAGGCUAUGAAACCGGAACGCUAGUUUCGGUGGAGCCGUCCUUGAAAUACCACCCUGGUUUGUUUGAGGUUCUAACCUUGGCCCGUGAUCCGGGUCGGGGACAGUGCAUGGUAGGCAGUUUGACUGGGGCGGUCUCCUCCCAAAGCGUAACGGAGGAGUACGAAGGUACGCUAGGUACGGUCGGAAAUCGUGCUGAUAGUGCAAUGGCAUAAGCGUGCUUAACUGCGAGACCGACAAGUCGAGCAGGUGCGAAAGCAGGUCAUAGUGAUCCGGUGGUUCUGUAUGGAAGGGCCAUCGCUCAACGGAUAAAAGGUACUCUGGGGAUAACAGGCUGAUACCGCCCAAGAGUUCAUAUCGACGGCGGUGUUUGGCACCUCGAUGUCGGCUCAUCUCAUCCUGGGGCUGUAGCCGGUCCCAAGGGUAUGGCUGUUCGCCAUUUAAAGAGGUACGUGAGCUGGGUUUAAAACGUCGUGAGACAGUUUGGUCCCUAUCUGCCGUGGGCGUUGGAUAUUUGAAGGGGGCUGCUCCUAGUACGAGAGGACCGGAGUGGACGAACCUCUGGUGUACCGGUUGUCACGCCAGUGGCAUCGCCGGGUAGCUAUGUUCGGAAGAGAUAACCGCUGAAAGCAUCUAAGCGGGAAACUCGCCUUAAGAUGAGAUAUCCCUGGGGACUAGAUCCCCUUGAAGGGUCGUUCGAGACCAGGACGUUGAUAGGUCAGGUGUGUAAGCGCAGUAAUGCGUUCAGCUAACUGAUACUAAUUGCCCGUAAGGCUUGAUCCU